This 465-nucleotide ribosomal RNA is filed under the name uncultured bacterium. RNAcentral describes it as "partial 16S ribosomal RNA". It matches the Rfam family "Bacterial small subunit ribosomal RNA", at positions 338 to 795 of the family's 1533-position model. The record is from RNAcentral.
CCUACGGGUGGCAGCAGUGGGGAAUAUUGGGCAAUGGGCGAAAGCCUGACGCAGCGACGCCGCGUGAGGGAUGAAGGUCUUCGGAUCGUAAACCACUGUCAGCAGGGAAGAACGGUCACUGUGCUAAUCAGCAGUGAAUUGACGGUACCUGCAAAGGAAGCACCGGCUAACUCCGUGCCAGCAGCCGCGGUAAUACGGAGGGUGCGAGCGUUUCUGGGAAUUACUGGGCGUAAAGCGCGCGUAGGCGGGAUGUUAAGUCAAGGGUGAAAUCCCCGCGCUCAACGUGGGAACUGCCUUUGAAACUGGCAAACUGGAGUGUGUGAGAGGAUAGUGGAAUUCCAGGUGUAGGAGUGAAAUGCGUAGAUAUCUGGAGGAACAUCAGUGGCGAAGGCGACUAUCUGGCACAUAACUGACGCUGAGGAGCGAAAGCGUGGGUAGCAAACAGGAUUAGAUACCCGUGUAGUC